CUGAUGGGAUCCGGUGCAUUAGUGCUGGUAUGAUCGCACCUGUUUAAUUUUCCGCUGCAAAUAGAUAAACUCAUUCCCCUUUCUUCCCCCUCCCGUCAUUUAUUUUCUUGUGCGUGCGCACUGCACCUCUCGUUCUCGUUCAAAUAUCAAGUAAAAUGCCACGGCGCCGUGACUCACAUUUGUGAAAAAACCUGCGGACCAUAAUUAAAGUCGCGCGUA
RNAcentral lists this long non-coding RNA (219 nucleotides) under Carica papaya (papaya). RNAcentral describes it as "long non-coding RNA (CPAP_LNC015879)". The record is from RNAcentral. Lineage: Eukaryota; Viridiplantae; Streptophyta; Magnoliopsida; Brassicales; Caricaceae.